UGAGGAAUAUUGCGCAAUGGGGGCAACCCUGACGCAGCGACGCCGCGUGAAUGAGGAAGGCCUUCGGGUCGUAAAGCUCUGUCAAAGGGAAAGAAGUGCAUGGUGGCUAAUACAUGCCAUGUUGGACGAUACCCUUAAAGGAAGCACCGGCUAACUCCGUGACAGCAGCCGCGGUAAUACGGAGGGUGCAAGCGUUGUUCGGAAUCACUGGGCGUAAAGGGCGCGUAGGCGGUUUGAUAAGUCAGAUGUGAAAGCUCACGGCUUAACCGUGGAAGUGCAUUUGAAACUGUUAGUCUUGAGUGUCAGAGGGGCAAGUGGAAUUGCCGGUGUAGAGGUGAAAUCCGUAGAUAUCGAGAGGAAUACCCGUGGCGAAGGCGAGUUGCUGGACCACACCUGACACUGAGGCACGAAAGCUUGGGGAGCAAACA
Molecule: ribosomal RNA, 428 nt
Filed under: uncultured prokaryote
Description: bacterial SSU rRNA
Rfam family: Bacterial small subunit ribosomal RNA
Source: RNAcentral